ACAUUUGGUUCAGGCUUAAGGUUUCCAAACUUCAAAACAACAUAGUUAGUCAUCCUCGAUGAAGGCGGGAUGAAAUUAUGCUUGUUCAAUUCCACCAAGCUCUUCAAGUCCACACUAGAAGGAAGAAAAAAAGCAUCAAAUUUCAACUACAGAUCAAGCAACUAGCAUUAUUUUAAAAACCCCAAUAAACAAUGAAAGAAUUUUCUAGAAUUAAUUAAUUGGAGCUUAGAUUAUGUUAUGAUGUAUCUAUAUAUAGCUUAGAUAUUCCUCUUAUACAACUAAUUCAUUUUGAUAAUACAAUGACAGAAAAUUUCCCAAAUUCUCUCUAAUUUUUUUUUCCUCUUUUCUCUUUGAUUUCCUCUAUUCUUCGAAUAUAUUGAAGCUGUUUUAAGCUUCAAUAUAGUAUCAGAGCUAGGGGUGUUAAAAAAAACCCGACCCGGUAAAUACCCAAUGGGAAUUUUAGGCGUAAAAGUUGUUUUUUCGCGUCGGGUACCCGACCCGGGAAAAUGGCCUUCUAUCCGGGUCGGGACAUGGGCCGGAUUUUAUUAUUAUCGAGUACCCGAUUACCCGAUAAUAAAUAAAAGCAAAAAAAAAAUAAUCACCCUCAUUCCCUCAAAGGCCCAGCCCAUACUGAUUCCACUCUACCAGUUCAGUAGUUCACGCCUUCACGGAUUAGGGUUCUAAAAAAAAUUCGCCUCUCUCUCUCUCUCUCUUAGAUCUGCUUUCCUUAGUCUCCUGUUCACGCGAGUUCAAGGGAGUUUCAGCCUUCAAUCUCAGGAAUUAAAGACUUUGUUUGGAGCAACCAACGAUUAUUAUUGAUGAGACAGUUGAAGUUUCGGAUCUCACAAGUGAAUGAAACACGACCUCCAAUCCCAUUUUAAUUUGCAUUGUGGCUUUGUUAUAUUAUUGUACUUUGUAAUUUGUAUGUUUUUAAUUAUGUAACUAAAGACUUCCCCUAAACUUUAGCUUUUACUAGUACUUUAAUAUGUUAAAACAGGUUAUAAAAAGUAGGUUUUUACUAAAAUGUAGCAGGUACUCAAGGGCUACAUUUUACAGAAUAGUAUUUCUGGAAAUACAUGCAUCUA
Long non-coding RNA from Chenopodium quinoa (quinoa), 1085 nucleotides. RefSeq lists it as uncharacterized. The transcript has 2 exons. The record is from RefSeq and is a predicted model, not a curated record. Lineage: Eukaryota; Viridiplantae; Streptophyta; Magnoliopsida; Caryophyllales; Amaranthaceae.